Molecule: unclassified non-coding RNA, 335 nt
Filed under: soil metagenome
Description: partial contains 5.8S ribosomal RNA, internal transcribed spacer 2, and large subunit ribosomal RNA
Rfam family: 5.8S ribosomal RNA (bases 1-120)
Source: RNAcentral
GAUGAAGAACGCAGCGAAAUGCGAUAAGUAAUGUGAAUUGCAGAAUUCAGUGAAUCAUCGAAUCUUUGAACGCACAUUGCGCCCGCCAGUAUUCUGGCGGGCAUGCCUGUUCGAGCGUCAUUUCAACCAUCAAGCCCCCGGCUUGUGUUGGGGACCUGCGGCUGCCGCAGGCCCUGAAAACCAGUGGCGGGCUCGCUAGUCACUCCGAGCGUAGUAAUACAUCUCGCUCAGGGCGUGCUGCGGGUUCCGGCCGUUAAAAAGCCUUAUUUACCCAAGGUUGACCUCGGAUCAGGUAGGAAGACCCGCUGAAUUUAAGCAUAUCAAUAAGCGGAGGA